GACGAACGCUGGCGGCGUGCCUAAUACAUGCAAGUCGAACGGACAGGCCCCUCUGUGGCUACUCGAGCGGUGGACGGGGGGGUAACACGGGAGUAACCAUCCCUUGACUACCGGACUACUUCAGGAAACUGAGGCUAGUACCGGAUAGGUAUCAUUGCUUCAUGGUGGGGGUUGGAAAGUUACGGCGGUUUUGGAUGGACUGUCGGGCUAUCAGCUUGUUGGUGGGGUAGUGGCUUACCAAGGCUGUGGCGGGUAGGCGACCUGGGAGGGCGACCGGCCACCAUGGGACUGAGGGACGGCCCAGACGGGGACGGGCGGCAAAAGUGGGGAAUAUUGCCGGAGGGGCGGAAGCCGGAUGCGGAAGGUCUGCGUGCGGGAUGACGGCCUUCGGGUUGAAAACCGCUUUCAGCAGGGGCGAUGCAUGUGGUGACGGUACCUGCAGAGAAAGCACCGGCUAACUACGUG
This 465-nucleotide ribosomal RNA is filed under the name uncultured bacterium. Its description in RNAcentral is "partial 16S ribosomal RNA". It matches the Rfam family "Bacterial small subunit ribosomal RNA", at positions 28 to 507 of the family's 1533-position model. The record is from RNAcentral.